This 939-nucleotide ribosomal RNA is filed under the name Lepiota cristata. RNAcentral's name for it is "partial large subunit ribosomal RNA". It matches the Rfam family "Eukaryotic large subunit ribosomal RNA", at positions 54 to 981 of the family's 3401-position model. The record is from RNAcentral. Lineage: Eukaryota; Fungi; Basidiomycota; Agaricomycetes; Agaricales; Agaricaceae.
AGGGAGCAAGACUAACAGGAUUCCCCUAGUAACUGCGAGUGAAGCGGGAAAAGCUCAAAUUUAAAAUCUGGCGGUCCUUGGCCGUCCGAGUUGUAAUCUAGAGAAGUGUUACCCGCGCUGGACCGUGUACAAGUCUCCUGGAAUGGAGCGUCAUAGAGGGUGAGAAUCCCGUCUCUGACACGGACUACCAGGGCUUUGUGGUAUGCUCUCAAAGAGUCGAGUUGUUUGGGAAUGCAGCUCAAAAUGGGUGGUAAAUUCCAUCUAAAGCUAAAUAUUGGCGAGAGACCGAUAGCGAACAAGUACCGUGAGGGAAAGAUGAAAAGAACUUUGGAAAGAGAGUUAAACAGUACGUGAAAUUGCUGAAAGGGAAACGCUUGAAGUCAGUCGCGUUGGCCGGGGAUCAGCCUUGCUUUUGCAUGGUGUACUUUCCGGUCGACGGGUCAGCAUCAAUUUUGACCGCUGGAAAAAGGCUUGGGGAAUGUGGCAGCUCCGGCUGUGUUAUAGCCCUUUGUCAUAUACAGCGGUUGGGAUUGAGGAACUCAGCACGCCGCAAGGCCGGGGUAAAACCACGUUCGUGCUUAGGAUGCUGGCAUAAUGGCUUUAAGCGACCCGUCUUGAAACACGGACCAAGGAGUCUAACAUGCCUGCGAGUGUUUGGGUGGAAAACCCGAGCGCGUAAUGAAAGUGAAAGUUGAGAUCCCUGUCGUGGGGAGCAUCGACGCCCGGACCAGAACUUUUGGGACGGAUCCGCGGUAGAGCAUGUAUGUUGGGACCCGAAAGAUGGUGAACUAUGCCUGAAUAGGGUGAAGCCAGAGGAAACUCUGGUGGAGGCUCGUAGCGAUUCUGACGUGCAAAUCGAUCGUCAAAUUUGGGUAUAGGGGCGAAAGACUAAUCGAACCAUCUAGUAGCUGGUUCCUGCCGAAUUUCCCUUCAGAGAAA